Molecule: long non-coding RNA, 733 nt
Filed under: Homo sapiens (human)
Lineage: Eukaryota; Metazoa; Chordata; Mammalia; Primates; Hominidae
Description: lncAB202.1
Source: RNAcentral
CCAGCCUGCAUGGGGAGGGCCUGGCUGCCCAGACACCCACCCUCACUUCUCAUGGCCAGCCUGUGUUUGCAGAUCACUGGGCUGCUCUGUCCCCAGCUUGCCCCAUGCCUGACAUGGCUCCAUGAGAUUCUGUGGAAUGCCCUUCUUGACUCGUGGAAAUCAUUCACCAAGUACGAUGGGAUGGGAUUCCAAGUAAACAGUGGACCGUCAUAUUGCAAAGCAGGCCCACGCCUGGGCUGGCCUUGGUUGAGGGGAUGGAGGAAUGUUUUCGGGGGUGCUUUGCAGGGCAGUGGUGCAGCCGCAGUGUGAACGGUCUUGGACAGCUGAAAACCAUGGCCUCCUUGGGGAUGGCCAGUGCUCCUGGUGUCUCCUCCACCUGCCUGGGUUGUGCAGGAGGCCAGCUGCCAGUGCCUGGGGCUGGGAAACUUUUUUGCUUGGGGCAGGCUUGGGCGAGCUCUCCCAGAUGUGUGCCCACCCCACCACUGCCUGGAAGCAUCCUUGUUCUCUGCCAGGAUGCAGGGUCACUGUUGCCUCUGACACAGCAGUUUCUGGGAACUCAGAGGACUGCCUUUCUGAAGGCUGGGGAGAGGCUUUGAGCAAGGAGCUUGUUUUUGCUUAAUCCCUCUAGACCAUCCCUGAUGCGUAGAUGUGAGAGGAUGUUUUCUGGCACAGUGUUAUGAAAAUACAGGAGAAACAGUCUCAGUGGAAUGUUUCAUAUUACCCGAAAAAAACU